CAGCAACAAUAGCAAUAACAACAGUAAUAGAAGGAAAAGAAGGAGGAGGAGAAGAAGGAGAAGGAGAAGGUGGAACAGCAUUAGCAGUAGUAGUAGUAGUAGUGGUAGCAGCAGCAGCAGAAGCAGUGGUAGCACGCGACGUUGUGCUGUUUUGACAACUUUCCGCCGCGUCGGGGCGUCGCGCCGUUUUUCUCGCGGCGGCGGCGGCAACGGUAGAAACAACAGCAAUAAGAUAGCGACAACAACAACUUAUUUAAAAAAGAUCGAUUGUGACAGCAAUUACGAUUGCUGCUGUCUCUCCAGCCCAUACGACGUCGACGGUGGUGGCGACUGCGUUCUGUUAUUAUUUUGCCACGGUGUUUUUGACCCUACAAACCGGACGAGUUCAUUGCAGCACUUUCGCGGGGGUGUCAGCCAGUUUUAUUACUCCGACCUUCUCCGUCCGCAGCAGCAGCGCCGACGGCGCCAGAACACGACGUGGUAUAUGCAGCAGCACGUCUAACUACAGGUAUAAAUCCCUCUGGUGGCAAGUGUAGGAGGAUCGCCACAGAACUAUAUCAGUGACGUUGCGACUGAGAAAGGACGCGACAAACCACGUGAUAUACCUGUCGUCGAGCCGCGUCAUGCAAAGCAUGCCCGACUCCUCGAUGGCCAUAACCUGAAUUGAGCCGAUUUGACCCGAUUAAGCCCGAUUCAACGUAUUCGUAGUUGAACGAACAAGCAAACGAACGAAUGAAAGAAAACAAACGGUAGCCAUUGACUUUUUUCAUCUUUCCUCGUGCUUACGUUCAUUAUUCUUUGGUGUUCUGUGUUUAAUAAAGAAUAUGCUUUUUGCAAUAAAGAUGCGAAUAUUCAGAAGUGUAUUAUACUUCAAUAAUAAUAUUUAUCUAAUA
This 893-nucleotide unclassified non-coding RNA is filed under the name Apis dorsata (giant honeybee). Its description in RNAcentral is "phosphatidylinositol 3-kinase 2-like, transcript variant X1". Lineage: Eukaryota; Metazoa; Arthropoda; Insecta; Hymenoptera; Apidae. The record is from RNAcentral.